GAAGUGAAAAGCUAGAUUACAAAGCUAGUAAGUAGCAGAGUCCGGACUUAAACUCAGCUCUCUGAAGCGCUCCCUCUGCGUCCUCUUCACAAUGCAAGACUGCCUCUCGAACCACGUUAACUGCGGCCGUAUCACACCGCCGGUCACCAGGGAACAGCCCGGAGUCCUUCGGCUGCUCUGUCUUGAUCAGGCUGGAAGCUCUGAGGAAGCUGAUCACGGACUUCCCUUGUGAUGUCAGAAGCAGAUUUCUAAAUAAGGAAGAAUAAUACGAACUCAUUUGUAGUUACUAACCUUCUGCCC
Molecule: long non-coding RNA, 300 nt
Organism: Rhinolophus ferrumequinum (greater horseshoe bat)
Lineage: Eukaryota; Metazoa; Chordata; Mammalia; Chiroptera; Rhinolophidae
Exons: 3
Source: RefSeq, a predicted model, not a curated record